CGGUGUUUAACUGGCGUGAUGUGGGACGUCCUACCGGUGGGCUUAGCCUCGCGAGGGGCGGCCCAACUAAUAUCCCGUCGCGGUGCUCUUUACUGAGUGUCGAGUCGGGCCGGUACGUUUACUUUGAACAAAUUAGAGUGCUUAAAGCAGGCUAUCCUCGCCUGAAUACUGCGUGCAUGGAAUAAUGGAAUAGGACCUCGGUUCUAUUUUGUUGGUUUUCGGAACCCCGAGGUAAUGAUUAAUAGGGACAGAUGGGGGCAUUCGUAUUGCGACGUUAGAGGUGAAAUUCUUGGAUCGUCGCAAGACGGACAGAAGCGAAAGCAUUUGCCAAAAAUGUUUUCAUUAAUCAAGAGCGAAAGUUAGAGGUUCGAAGGCGAUCAGAUACCGCCCUAGUUCUAACCAUAAACGAUGCCAGCUAGCGAUCCGCCGAAGUUCCUCCGAUGACUCGGCGGGCAGCUUCCGGGAAACCAAAGCUUUUGGGUUCCGGGGGAAGUAUGGUUGCAAAGCUGAAACUUAAAGGAAUUGACGGAAGGGCACCACCAGGAGUGGAGCCUGCGGCUUAAUUUGACUCAACACGGGAAACCUCACCAGGCCCAGACACCGGAAGGAUUGACAGAUUGAUAGCUCUUUCUUGAUUCGGUGGGUGGUGGUGCAUGGCCGUUCUUAGUUGGUGGAGCGAUUUGUCUGGUUAAUUCCGAUAACGAACGAGACUCUAGCCUGCUAAAUAGGCGUACCUUAUGGUAUCGCGAAGGCCCCCGGCUUCGGCCGGUGGGUUUUUACUACCAACGUACAAACAAAUCUUCUUAGAGGGACAGGCGG
This 819-nucleotide ribosomal RNA is filed under the name uncultured eukaryote. Its description in RNAcentral is "SSU rRNA". It matches the Rfam family "Eukaryotic small subunit ribosomal RNA", at positions 629 to 1426 of the family's 1831-position model. The record is from RNAcentral.